RNAcentral lists this ribosomal RNA (465 nucleotides) under uncultured Acidobacteriota bacterium. RNAcentral describes it as "uncultured Acidobacteria bacterium partial 16S ribosomal RNA". It matches the Rfam family "Bacterial small subunit ribosomal RNA", at positions 338 to 794 of the family's 1533-position model. The record is from RNAcentral. Lineage: Bacteria; Pseudomonadati; Acidobacteriota.
CCUACGGGAGGCAGCAGUGGGGAAUUGUUCGCAAUGGGCGCAAGCCUGACGACGCAACGCCGCGUGGAGGAUGAAGAUCUUCGGGUCGUAAACUCCUGUCGAGCGGGACGAACGGCCCGUGGGCCAAUACCCCACGGGAGUGACGGUACCGCGAGAGGAAGCCCCGGCUAACUCCGUGCCAGCAGCCGCGGUAAUACGGGGGGGGCGAGCGUUGUUCGGAAUUACUGGGCGUAAAGGGCGCGUAGGCGGCCGGCUCAGUCAGACGUGAAAUCCCUCGGCUCAACCGGGGAACUGCGUCUGAUACGGGGGGGCUCGAAUCCGGGAGAGGGAAGUGGAAUUCCAGGUGUAGCGGUGAAAUGCGUAGAUAUCUGGAGGAACACCGGUGGCGAAGGCGACUUCCUGGACCGGUAUUGACGCUGAGGCGCGAAAGCCAGGGGAGCAAACGGGAUUAGAUACCCCUGUAGU